CCUGCCGUCUACUCUUGGACAGCCUUCUGAAAGGAAGAUUAAUACAAGAUGGCAUCAUGAGUCCGCAUGUUCACAUGAUUAAAGGUAUUCCGGUAGACGAUGGGGAUGCGUUCCAUUAGAUAGUAGGCGGGGUAACGGCCCACCUAGUCUUCGAUGGAUAGGGGUUCUGAGAGGAAGGUCCCCCACAUUGGAACUGAGACACGGUCCAAACUCCUACGGGAGGCAGCAGUGAGGAAUAUUGGUCAAUGGGCGAGAGCCUGAACCAGCCAAGUAGCGUGAAGGAUGACUGCCCUAUGGGUUGUAAACUUCUUUUAUAAAGGAAUAAAGUCGGGUAUGGAUACCCGUUUGCAUGUACUUUAUGAAUAAGGAUCGGCUAACUCCGUGCCAGCAGCCGCGGUAAUACGGAGGAUCCGAGCGUUAUCCGGAUUUAUUGGGUUUAAAGGGAGCGUAGAUGGAUGUUUAAGUCAGUUGUGAAAGUUUGCGGCUCAACCGUAAAAUUGCAGUUGAUACUGGAUAUCUUGAGUGCAGUUGAGGCAGGCGGAAUUCGUGGUGUAGCGGUGAAAUGCUUAGAUAUCACGAAGAACUCCGAUUGCGAGGGCAGCCUGCUAAGCUGCAACUGACAUUGAGGCUCGAAAGUGUGGGUAUCAAACAGGAUUAGAUACCCUGGUAGUCCACACGGUAAACGAUGAAUACUCGCUGUUUGCGAUAUACUGCAAGCGGCCAAG
Molecule: ribosomal RNA, 725 nt
Filed under: uncultured bacterium
Lineage: Bacteria
Description: bacterial SSU rRNA
Rfam family: Bacterial small subunit ribosomal RNA
Source: RNAcentral